RNAcentral lists this ribosomal RNA (253 nucleotides) under uncultured bacterium. Its description in RNAcentral is "partial 16S ribosomal RNA". It matches the Rfam family "Bacterial small subunit ribosomal RNA", at positions 524 to 776 of the family's 1533-position model. The record is from RNAcentral.
UACGUAGGGUGCGAGCGUUGUCCGGAAUUAUUGGGCGUAAAGAGCUCGUAGGCGGUUCGUCGCGUCGAAUGUGAAAACCCGGGGCUCAACUCCGGGCCUGCAUUCGAUACGGGCGGACUAGAGUUCGGCAGGGGAGACUGGAAUUCCUGGUGUAGCGGUGAAAUGCGCAGAUAUCAGGAGGAACACCGGUGGCGAAGGCGGUUCUCUGGGCAUUACCUGACGCUGAGGAGCGAAAGUGUGGGGAGCGAACAGG